CGACCAGGUGCUUCUGCUGCUACCGAAGGCCUCCUACAAAUUCCUGGCCUGCUGGCAGGAGCAUUACACCAUUCUUGAGAGGGUAGGCCCAGUGAACUACUGCCUGCAGCAGCCCAAACCCAACGAGUGUACCUUGUUCCACUGAGGAGAGGACCUCACACCCAUGCAGCGAGAACAGCUGACAGAGUUGAUGGACCAAUUCACUGACGUCUUUUCAGCCUACACUGGCCUGACCCAUCUGGUCCAGAACGACAUAGAGAUGCCGCAGGGUGUGGUGGUCAGACAGCAGCCCUACUGUGUCCCAGAGGCUCACUGUUAGGAUACUGAGGAGGAAGUUAGCCGGAUUUUGGGGGACAGAAUCAUCGAGGAGUCAACCAGUCCUUGGUCCAGUCCCAUUGUGAUGGUUUUGAAGCCUGAUGGCAGAGCCCAGUUGUUCAAUGACUUCCGGAGGCUCAACCAGGUAUCGGAGUUUGACAGCUACCCCCUUCACCGGGGCCAUGAUCUGAUCGAGUGUCUGGGGAGAGCCUGGUUCAUCAGCACCAUGGACCUAACAAAGGGCUAUUGGUUGGUCUACCCCCAGCCCAUAUCCAAGAAACAGUCUAUUUGGGAUUGGUAGGAUACUAUCAUCACUUUGUCCCUAACUUCUCCACUUUAGCUUCCCUCCUCUUAGAUCUCAUCAAGAAGGGUCAACUGGACUGUGUGCAAUGGACCGAGGAAGCAGAGCAGGCAUUCCAGACCCUCAAGCAGGCCCUCACCUGCUUCUCUGUCCUCUGGAACUCUGACUUCUCGCUAUCCUUCACCAUACAUAUGGAAGCAUCCAAGACAGGACUAGGGGGUGUCCUGUCUCAAACAUUCGACGGUGAAGAGCACCCGGUCCUGUACGACAGCAGGAAGCAAACCCUGGCCGAACUUACAUAUGCCGCUGUGGAGCGAGAAGCCUUCACCAUCAAGUGGGCCAUCGAGGGACUGCACUGCUACCUGGCGAGGUAACAUUUCACCCUGGUCAUUGACCAUGCCCUCCUGCCAUGGAUGGCCAGGGCUAAAGACAUGAACGCCAGGAUGACCAGGUGGUUCCUUGCAAUACAGGACUUCGUUCCCAGUCCAACAACGGUUGAGGAUCCAGCAGGGGGACGCAGAUGGCCUCUCAAGAAGACGCAGACGCCGAAGAUGAUGAGGACAGCGGAAAAGAAACUCCCCAGGUGUGCUACACCUCUCCUGACCCUCCAUGGCCUCCUCUAUGCCACCUGGGUCCCACCUUGUGGCAGCUCCAGCCCCCUCGUCGUGACCCUCACUAGCACGACAGCAAGUUCCCCACUCUCACUCCUCU
Molecule: long non-coding RNA, 1327 nt
Organism: Ictalurus punctatus (channel catfish)
Lineage: Eukaryota; Metazoa; Chordata; Actinopteri; Siluriformes; Ictaluridae
Source: Ensembl